This 468-nucleotide ribosomal RNA is filed under the name uncultured bacterium. RNAcentral describes it as "partial 16S ribosomal RNA". It matches the Rfam family "Bacterial small subunit ribosomal RNA", at positions 28 to 507 of the family's 1533-position model. The record is from RNAcentral.
GACGAACGCUGGCGGCGUGCUUAACACAUGCCAGUCGAACGGAAAGGCCCUGCUUUUGUGGGGUGCUCGAGUGGCGAACGGGUGAGUAACACGUGAGUAACCUGCCCUUGACUUUGGGAUAACUUCAGGAAACUGGGGCUAAUACCGGAUAGGGGCUCCUGCUGCAUGGUGGGGGUUGGAAAGUUUCGGCGGUUGGGGAUGGACUCGCGGCUUAUCAGCUUGUUGGUGGGGUAGUGGCUUACCAAGGCUUUGACGGGUAGCCGGCCUGAGAGGGUGACCGGCCACAUUGGGACUGAGAUACGGCCCAGACUCCUACGGGAGGCAGCAGUGGGGAAUAUUGCACAAUGGGCGGAAGCCUGAUGCAGCAACGCCGCGUGCGGGAUGACGGCCUUCGGGUUGUAAACCGCUUUCGCCUGUGACGAAGCGUGAGUGACGGUAAUGGGUAAAGAAGCACCGGCUAACUACGUG